GGACCCGUAGCUCAGCUGGAUAGAGCGUCGCCCUCCGAAGGCGAAGGUCACGCGUUCGAAUCGCGUCGGGUCCA
Molecule: transfer RNA, 74 nt
Filed under: Acetobacter orientalis NRIC 0481
Lineage: Bacteria; Pseudomonadati; Pseudomonadota; Alphaproteobacteria; Acetobacterales; Acetobacteraceae
Description: tRNA-Arg
Rfam family: tRNA
About the family: Transfer RNA (tRNA) molecules are approximately 80 nucleotides in length. Their secondary structure includes four short double-helical elements and three loops (D, anti-codon, and T loops).
Source: RNAcentral